CCCUUAGAUGUUCUGGGCGGCCCGCGCACUACAAUGGCGCUUUCAGCGAGUUCCUAUGUUGAAUUUUCCUGGGUAUUCUUGGAAGCGGCGUCUUGACUUGGGAUAGAUCCUUGUAAUUGUUGGUUUUGAACGAGGAAUUCCUUGUAAUCGCGGUUGAUCAGCUCGCGUUGAAUACGUCCCUGCCCUUUGUACACACCGCCCGUCGCUCCUACCGAUGAAUCGUCCGGUGGAGUUCACAGAGUGGCGGUUCGUGGAGUUGCUCGCGAAGUGAAAUGGACCUCACGAUUUAGAGGAAGGAGAAGUCGUAACA
Molecule: ribosomal RNA, 310 nt
Filed under: uncultured eukaryote
Lineage: Eukaryota
Description: partial 18S ribosomal RNA
Rfam family: Eukaryotic small subunit ribosomal RNA
Source: RNAcentral